CAGCCGCCACGGUAAUACGAAGGGGGCUAGCGUUGCUCGGAAUGACUGGGCGUAAAGGGCGCGUAGGCGGUGAGUUAAGUCUGCUGUGAAAUCCCCGGGCUCAACCUGGGAAUGGCAGUGGAUACUGGCUCGCUAGAGUGUGUCAAAGGAUGGUGGAAUUCCCGGUGUAGCGGUGAAAUGCGUAGAGAUCGGGAGGAACAUCAGUGGCGAAGGCGGCCAUCUGGGACAACACUGACGCUGAGGCACGAAAGCGUGGGGAGCAAACAGGAUUAGAUACCCGUGUAGUCCCUGUCUCUUAUAC
RNAcentral lists this ribosomal RNA (301 nucleotides) under uncultured bacterium. RNAcentral describes it as "partial 16S ribosomal RNA". It matches the Rfam family "Bacterial small subunit ribosomal RNA", at positions 509 to 807 of the family's 1533-position model. The record is from RNAcentral.